RNAcentral lists this ribosomal RNA (373 nucleotides) under Crocinitomicaceae bacterium. Its description in RNAcentral is "bacterial SSU rRNA". It matches the Rfam family "Bacterial small subunit ribosomal RNA", at positions 1 to 369 of the family's 1533-position model. Lineage: Bacteria; Pseudomonadati; Bacteroidota; Flavobacteriia; Flavobacteriales; Crocinitomicaceae. The record is from RNAcentral.
ACAAUGGAGAGUUUGAUCCUGGCUCAGGAUGAACGCUAGCGGCAGGCUUAACACAUGCAAGUCGAGGGGCAGCAUAGAUUGCUUGCAAUCUGAUGGCGACCGGCGCACGGGUGCGUAACGCGUAUGCAACCUACCCUAUACAGGGGGAUAGCCCGAAGAAAUUCGGAUUAAUAUUCCAUAGUAUUGUUUAAUCGCAUGAUUAGACAAUUAAAGAUUUAUCGGUAUAGGAUGGGCAUGCGUUAGAUUAGUUAGUUGGGGAGGUAACGGCUCACCAAGACUACGAUCUAUAGGGGGCCUGAGAGGGUGAUCCCCCACACUGGUACUGAGACACGGACCAGACUCCUACGGGAGGCAGCAGUGAGGAAUAUUGGUC